UGUUACUACAGUGGCCUCAGGAUAAAGGGGCUGGAUGCAGCUGGCUUGCAGUCUCCAGAUCGAUGUGCCUGCGUUCUAUUUGUGGCUCUCUCUGACUCCAGGGCAUCAUACCAUGGAUGUCCGGCUAAAAUGUAAGGGUUGGAGAGACGACCAGCAGAGAAUCACAGACCGGCUCAGUGAUGGUGAGAAGACAGCCGAAGAUCCUGAUGGCUUAGGCAUGGUCGAGUCGAACGGCGUUCCACUCGGCCACCGUGCAAUGGGUGACCGAACAACAGCAGUACCAAAAAGACACACUGCAGCGAGUCUGUGAUCGUGUGAUGGGACUGCGCUUCUGGAGGACCAAGAUAUGAACUCUUCCUUGGAAACGAUGGUGAAUCACCCUACAAAUUACCUGAGCAGAAACCUGCUUGUGCCCAAUUCACAACAGGAUAAUACUAUUGCCUGUAAACAGCAGGGAUUUGUGAUGGGGUGGCAAACACUCUGGGGAGGGAGAUCUGACACCCUGUUGUUUCGCCCAAAAUAUUGUGGAAUGCCUUCUCUUCUCUGUGGAAUACCAGAGAUGAUGUUAUCUGCGCUUUGUUAGAACGUCUCACCAGGAUUUUUUUCUUAUUAUCAAGUCUUAGUUGUCAUGGAAACCAACCAAACCGUCAUUGCUCAAAAAGGGGGAUGACGCACGGACAAUUUUGCUGUGUUUACCCUUGGCAUGCAGAGCCUAGGAUAAUAAAACACAUUAAAGGUAUGGCUCACAAAUCAGACAGAAAAAUAACAACAGAUAGAUUAAUAACAUUAGAUUAUGUGGCAUAGUAGCAAAUGAACAUAUCAACUCAUUUUUAAAUCAUUUUUAUAGUCUGUUUCAGAUUUGUUUUGUAGCUUAAGUAAUAAGAUAUCACAUCUUUAUUACUACUGUCACUACUAUCUGUUUUACUAUGUACUCACAGGAAAGCUGCUUUGCAACAAUAUAAAAAGUGUGAAAAGUAAUUUGAAUUAAACUGAAUUGAAUUAUCAUGCAGAAGAGUCUAGGGAGUAACUUUAAAUUUGAGACCAUUUGAAUCGCAUAGCAAUGUUAUAACAUCUUGGAUUUAGGAUGAAUGCAAAAAAUGAAAUUUCAUCAUGUCCUGAGUUUGCUGCACCCAUGGAACAUGAUCUUCUAAAAAUACCUCCUUUAUUGAAACACUUUUUGCAAUAUUUUGGGAAGGGCCGGUCCUUGGAGAGGUUUGGAUGUUUUCAAAUCUGUAAAGGACAUGAUGUUCUAAACCAUAAAGAUGAUGAUGUUCAGGAUUCUGAAGGACGAUGAGGAGUGAUAGAGUACAGAUAUCUGUUCUGUGUAAUAGAGAGCCACUUAACCCUGAAACCAGCUCCAGAAGAGAGGCAUAAUGAAACAGCUUUGAGCUGACUGCUAAUGACCAAUGUGUCUAUUUCAUUUGAGCUUUAACCAGAUCUAUUCCACUGUGUACUGGGGUUAAGCCAUGGGUAUACAGACAAUACCAGCAGCAAUUCAACACAUAACUCAACCGGUGACGUGUCAUUUCACAAAAAGGAAAUUGCAUCACUUCAGGAACCUAUUCCAACACAUUUAGGGAGCAACAGAAUGCACUAUUUGUUCCUAGAGUGAAUGGAAAUAGUUGGGGGGCCAGCAUUAAUAAAGUGCACUUUGUAGAAAGUGGAGUUUGAUGACUUUUUUGAGACGCGAGACAACAAACUAUCAGAAGGGCA
Molecule: long non-coding RNA, 1713 nt
Organism: Triplophysa dalaica
Lineage: Eukaryota; Metazoa; Chordata; Actinopteri; Cypriniformes; Nemacheilidae
Exons: 3
Source: RefSeq, a predicted model, not a curated record